UCCUGCAGCAUGGCUUCAUUAGUCGAGGAAACUGAGGUGGAUGUUUCAGAGGUUAGAUAUUUUCAUCAGUCUUCAUCAGUUUGUGUCUGUAGUCGCCAUCAAUAUAAAGAUCCAGAAGAUCAGAACUGAAGCUACAAUCAUCAGAGAUCCAACAGCAACACAACAGAUCAGAAUGAAGAUG
Non-coding RNA from Paramisgurnus dabryanus, 181 nucleotides. Lineage: Eukaryota; Metazoa; Chordata; Actinopteri; Cypriniformes; Cobitidae. The record is from RefSeq and is a predicted model, not a curated record.